RNAcentral lists this ribosomal RNA (253 nucleotides) under uncultured bacterium. Its description in RNAcentral is "partial 16S ribosomal RNA". It matches the Rfam family "Bacterial small subunit ribosomal RNA", at positions 524 to 776 of the family's 1533-position model. The record is from RNAcentral.
UACGUAGGGAGCAAGCGUUGUCCGGAAUCAUUGGGCGUAAAGCGCGCGUAGGUGGCUUCGUAAGUCCGUUGUGAAAGUCAAAGGCUCAACCUUUGAAAGCCGAUGGAUACUGCGGAGCUAGAGUACGGAAGAGGCGAGUGGAAUUCCUGGUGUAGCGGUGGAAUGCGCAGAUAUCAGGAGGAACACCGGUGGCGAAGGCGGAUCUCUGGGCCAUAACUGACGCUGAGGAGCGAAAGCAUGGGGAGCGAACAGG